GACGAACGCCUGUGGCGUGCCUAAUACAUGCAAGUAGAACGCUGAAGAGAGGAGCUUGCUCUUCUUGGAUGAGUUGCGAACGGGUGAGUAACGCGUAGGUAACCUGCCUUGUAGCGGGGGAUAACUAUUGGAAACGAUAGCUAAUACCGCAUAACAAUGGAUGACACAUGUCAUUUAUUUGAAAGGGGCAAAUGCUCCACUACAAGAUGGACCUGCGUUGUAUUAGCUAGUAGGUGAGGUAACGGCUCACCUAGGCGACGAUACAUAGCCGACCUGAGAGGGUGAUCGGCCACACUGGGACUGAGACACGGCCCAGACUCCUACGGGAGGCAGCAGUAGGGAAUCUUCGGCAAUGGGGGCAACCCUGACCGAGCAACGCCGCGUGAGUGAAGAAGGUUUUCGGAUCGUAAAGCUCUGUUGUAAGUCAAGAACGAGUGUGAGAGUGGAAAGUUCACACUGUGACGGUAGCUUACCAGAAAGGGACGGCUAACUACGUGCCAGCAGCCGCGGUAAUACGUAGGUCCCGAGCGUUGUCCGGAUUUAUUGGGCGUAAAGCGAGCGCAGGCGGUUUGAUAAGUCUGAAGUUAAAGGCUGUGGCUCAACCAUAGUUCGCUUUGGAAACUGUCAAACUUGAGUGCAGAAGGGGAGAGUGGAAUUCCAUGUGUAGCGGUGAAAUGCGUAGAUAUAUGGAGGAACACCGGUGGCGAAAGCGGCUCUCUGGUCUGUAACUGACGCUGAGGCUCGAAAGCGUGGGGAGCGAACAGGAUUAGAUACCCUGGUAGUCCACGCCGUAAACGAUGAGUGCUAGGUGUUGGAUCCUUUCCGGGAUUCAGUGCCGCAGCUAACGCAUUAAGCACUCCGCCUGGGGAGUACGACCGCAAGGUUGAAACUCAAAGGAAUUGACGGGGGCCCGCACAAGCGGUGGAGCAUGUGGUUUAAUUCGAAGCAACGCGAAGAACCUUACCAGGUCUUGACAUCCCGAUGCUAUUUCUAGAGAUAGAAAGUUACUUCGGUACAUCGGUGACAGGUGGUGCAUGGUUGUCGUCAGCUCGUGUCGUGAGAUGUUGGGUUAAGUCCCGCAACGAGCGCAACCCCUAUUGUUAGUUGCCAUCAUUCAGUUGGGCACUCUAGCGAGACUGCCGGUAAUAAACCGGAGGAAGGUGGGGAUGACGUCAAAUCAUCAUGCCCCUUAUGACCUGGGCUACACACGUGCUACAAUGGUUGGUACAACGAGUUGCGAGUCGGUGACGGCAAGCUAAUCUCUUAAAGCCAAUCUCAGUUCGGAUUGUAGGCUGCAACUCGCCUACAUGAAGUCGGAAUCGCUAGUAAUCGCGGAUCAGCACGCCGCGGUGAAUACGUUCCCGGACCU
This 1369-nucleotide ribosomal RNA is filed under the name uncultured bacterium. RNAcentral describes it as "bacterial SSU rRNA". It matches the Rfam family "Bacterial small subunit ribosomal RNA", at positions 28 to 1381 of the family's 1533-position model. The record is from RNAcentral.